RNAcentral lists this transfer RNA (91 nucleotides) under Thiospirillum jenense. Its description in RNAcentral is "tRNA-Ser". It matches the Rfam family "tRNA". Rfam says of the family: Transfer RNA (tRNA) molecules are approximately 80 nucleotides in length. Their secondary structure includes four short double-helical elements and three loops (D, anti-codon, and T loops). The record is from RNAcentral. Lineage: Bacteria; Pseudomonadati; Pseudomonadota; Gammaproteobacteria; Chromatiales; Chromatiaceae.
GGAGAGGUGUCCGAGCGGCUUAAGGAGCACGCCUGGAAAGUGUGUAUAGGUUAAUCGCCUAUCGAGGGUUCGAAUCCCUCCCUCUCCGCCA